AAACACUCAUGGCGUCCCCAGGGCAUGCAGGGUAGAGGGUGACGCGAAAUUAAAAGGGAAGGAGAUUAUUUUUAAUCCUCUUGGUAGGUGUUGAAACAAUGCAGGGAGGGCCAAGCCGCUGAGUCGGUCGCCUUAGACUGAGGCUGGAAGGACCGACGCUGCCACUGGGAGCAGCUUUUCUCCCCACAGGUAUUGCCACAUUGUAUCUGCUGGCCACACGUGCGGGCUCUCCUGGGCUUUUGCCAGAACUGGAUGACGUCAUUGUUUAAUUCCUGGUAAUAUAUGAAAAAUGGCAUCUCACUCCCGUCUCGAUUU
Molecule: long non-coding RNA, 315 nt
Filed under: Capra hircus (goat)
Lineage: Eukaryota; Metazoa; Chordata; Mammalia; Artiodactyla; Bovidae
Description: lncRNA (ENSCHIG00010013838.1)
Source: RNAcentral